RNAcentral lists this ribosomal RNA (405 nucleotides) under uncultured bacterium. Its description in RNAcentral is "bacterial SSU rRNA". It matches the Rfam family "Bacterial small subunit ribosomal RNA", at positions 355 to 775 of the family's 1533-position model. The record is from RNAcentral.
CAAGGAAUUUUCCGCAAUGGGCGCAAGCCUGACGGAGCAACGCCGCGUGCGGGAUGACGCAUUUCGGUGUGUAAACCGCUGUUCGGGGGGACGAAGCACUGACGGUACCCCCGGAGGAAGGCCCGGCUAACUACGUGCCAGCAGCCGCGGUAAUACGUAGGGGUCGAGCGUUGUCCGGAGUUACUGGGCGUAAAGCGUGUGCAGGCGGCGCAUCGCGCCCGGCGUGAAAGCCCCCGGCUCAACCGGGGAGGGUCGUCGGGGACGGGUGCGCUUGAGGGUAUCAGGGGCAGGUAGAAUUCCCGGUGUAGUGGUGAAAUGCGUAGAGAUCGGGAGGAAUACCCGUGGCGAAGGCGGCCUGCUGGGAUACACCUGACGCUGAGACACGAAGGCGUGGGGAGCGAACGG